Molecule: long non-coding RNA, 587 nt
Filed under: Mus pahari (shrew mouse)
Lineage: Eukaryota; Metazoa; Chordata; Mammalia; Rodentia; Muridae
Description: lncRNA (MGP_PahariEiJ_G0005978.1)
Source: RNAcentral
CCUCUGCCUCCAGGUUCCUGUCCUGUGUGAGUUCCUGUCCUGACUUCCUUUGGUGAUGAACAGUAAUGUGGAAGUGAGGUAACAACAUCAUUAAGAAGAGAACCGGAAGACAAGACACAGCUAUUAGAAUGGAACACGUGCAGGAACUGCUGGCCUUGGUGUUGAUGAAGCAGCGGAACAGACAGAACUCUCCUACAUCUCUGUUAGGAACGUGAAAUGAGACAAUCAAUUUGGAUAAAGGUCUGGCUGUAUUUUUGUAAAACUAAGACAGAGGUAUAAUCUGCCACUUGACACAGUGAUUUUGCUUCUCGGUCCUGAUGUAAAGGGACAAAAAGACAUAUAGUUAAUGUUGCAGAUGUAUCCAAAAUAACUCUGAACUGGUAAUAAGCCUUGUGAUUAUCAACAAGAUAAACAAAGGACAGUGUGUUCAGCCAGUGGAACUACUGCAGCACUAGAAAGGAUAAACUACUGAAUCAUGCACGCAUGGAACAAAUUCAGAUUAUUUUAUGCCGAAUGAGAGAAGCCUUACAAUAAAAUUUCAAUAUAACUCCACUUAUACCCUGUUCUAAAAUGGGAAAAACUGAUUU